This 485-nucleotide ribosomal RNA is filed under the name uncultured bacterium. RNAcentral describes it as "bacterial SSU rRNA". It matches the Rfam family "Bacterial small subunit ribosomal RNA", at positions 30 to 512 of the family's 1533-position model. The record is from RNAcentral.
AUUGAACGCUGGCGGAAUGCUUUACACAUGCAAGUCGAACGGCAGCACGGACUUCGGUCUGGUGGCGAGUGGCGAACGGGUGAGUAAUAUAUCGGAACGUGCCCAGUCGUGGGGGAUAACGUAGUGAAAAUUACGCUAAUACCGCAUACGAUCUACGGAUGAAAGCGGGGGAUCGCAAGACCUCGCGCGAUUGGAGCGGCCGAUAUCAGAUUAGGUAGUUGGUGAGGUAAAGGCUCACCAAGCCAACGAUCUGUAGCUGGUCUGAGAGGACGACCAGCCACACUGGAACUGAGACACGGUCCAGACUCCUACGGGAGGCAGCAGUGGGGAAUUUUGGACAAUGGACGCAAGUCUGAUCCAGCCAUUCCGCGUGCAGGAUGAAGGCCUCGGGUUGUAACUGCUUUGUACGGAACGAAAGGUUUCUAUUAAUACUAGGAGCUCAUGACGGUACCGUAAGAAUAAGCACCGGCUAACUACGUGCCAGC